Molecule: long non-coding RNA, 465 nt
Organism: Anopheles darlingi
Lineage: Eukaryota; Metazoa; Arthropoda; Insecta; Diptera; Culicidae
Exons: 5
Source: RefSeq, a predicted model, not a curated record
GCGCGGAUCGCGACCUCGUGCUUCGAUGAAAUAAAAUGAUGUGUAUAAGGUUAGUUGAGAUUAGUGUACAGAUGAAAUGUACCGAACGAAAAUGUGGUUUAAGUUAUAGGAAUUGCGUUUUACCGCCUUUUCCAUGCCUUCAACUAGCUAUCAAGGUUGCCUCUAAGAGAAUCCAGGGGGUCUUAGGUGACUAGCAUUUUCUGCCUUAAAUGCUUCUUUCUGAUGUUGAGCACUGGCCGAUUGAUUGCAUUUUUAUUGAGAAAUCGACGAAUUGAAUGCCUGAAGGUUGUGGCCGAAGUACUUACAGCACGCAUUUAAUGAUAUCUUGCAUUUAAUCACGGAACAUUUAAUGAAGUUUGUUGUGUGCUUGGUGCCGUUCCUUGGGGAGGCAGCACCCGAGGAAAAUUCCGCUGGGGGACCGGUGGAUGUUUGAGCUGUUGUACCUAUUGCUUCAAUUGUUUUUAA